AAAACCUUAAACUGGAUUUGGCCUUUUUCACGCAAAUUAGGGCCGAAAGAGACCACACAUCGCGUUCAGGUUCCCUACCGCCUCCAGAUCAAACUCGUCGGACGCCGGAGCCGAUGGCGACCAAUCCCCAACCAAACCAAGAGCAAGAGUCUCAAUUCCCAAUCCGAAGACUCGAACUCGCCGACAAAUCCAAAGGAUUCAUCGAUCUCCUCUCCCAGCUCAGCUCCUGCCCCCAGAUCUCCGACGCCCAGUUCGAUCUCCGGUUCAACGAGAUCGCCUCUCUCGGCGACGACCACGUGAUCUGCGUCAUCGAGGACCCGGUCUCCAACCGGAUCAUCGCCACCGGCUCCGUCUUCAUCGAGAAGAAAUUCCUCCGCGGUUGCAGCAAGGUCGGCCACAUCGAGGACAUCGUCGUCGAUAAGGAAGUCAGAGGGAAGAAAUUAGGGCAGAAGAUGAUUAGAUACCUCUCGGACCACGCUAAGGGGGUCGGGUGUUAUAAGGUGAUUCUUGAUUGCGAGCCGGACCGCAGGGGUUUUUAUGAGAAGUGCGGGUUCGUUGAGAAGAACGUCCAGAUGGCGAUUUAUUUCUGAUGAGGGGUCUUGUUAUUUCCUUUCUUGGCAACAUGAUGUUUCCUUUGGUAACAAUGAAUGCGAUCCUCGGUCAACAAUUAUAAUUUACUGCAUGAGAACGAUUGAUAGGUGAUGAGGUCAACACAGAGAGGUACAAGGAAUACUGGCCUUCAAUAACUUCAAAGUUCCCAUUCCUGCAGAUCGACUCUCAUUCAAGGGUUUAUGUGAGUACUACAAGAAGAUGAUUUUGCCGCUGACCGUGCGGAGUCGGUGAUCUAGUCAUUAGGGUGGUACUACUUGCAUAUCCUACUGCCAAUAUCUAUUAGAUGUGGUGAAGGACAGUUCUAUAGUAUGGAGCAGACAAUUAUAUGUAAUAAAUCAAUGUUUCAAAGAAACUGUCCUUCGGUAAAACGAAAUUAUACAUGUAAGUGGAAAAUGAUUGUCACCAUUCUUUGAAGCCGGUUAUCUUUUAUUCUUCUUGUAGUUAAGAUUUGGAUAUUUAUCCUUGGUUAUUAUCACACAUUUUUAUACCA
RNA transcript from Asparagus officinalis (garden asparagus), 1102 nucleotides. It is a transcript of the gene named glucosamine 6-phosphate N-acetyltransferase-like, with no coding region annotated. The record is from RefSeq and is a predicted model, not a curated record. The transcript has 3 exons. NCBI's taxonomy places the organism in Eukaryota, Viridiplantae, Streptophyta, Magnoliopsida, Asparagales, Asparagaceae.